This 253-nucleotide ribosomal RNA is filed under the name uncultured bacterium. RNAcentral describes it as "partial 16S ribosomal RNA". It matches the Rfam family "Bacterial small subunit ribosomal RNA", at positions 524 to 776 of the family's 1533-position model. The record is from RNAcentral.
UACGAAGGGGGCUAGCGUUGCUCGGAAUUACUGGGCGUAAAGCGCACGUAGGCGGCCUUGUAAGUCAGGGGUGAAAUCCCGGGGCUCAACCUCGGAACUGCCUUUGAUACUGCAAGUCUCGAGUCCGGAAGAGGUGAGUGGAAUUCCUAGUGUAGAGGUGAAAUUCGUAGAUAUUCGCAAGAACACCAGUGGCGAAGGCGGCUCACUGGCCCGAUACUGACGCUGAGGUGCGAAAGCGUGGGGAGCAAACAGG